UACGAAGGGUGCUAGCGUUGUUCGGAAUCAUUGGGCGUAAAGCGUGCGUAGGCGGCUUAGUAAGUCGACUGUGAAAGCCCAGGGCUUAACCUUGGAAUUGCAGUCGAAACUACUAGACUUGAGUAUGGCGGGGGAUAGUGGAAUUCUUAGUGUAGGGGUGAAAUCCGUAGAUAUUAAGAGGAACACCAGUGGCGAAGGCGACUAUCUACACCAUUACUGACGCUGAGGCACGAAAGCGUGGGGAGCAAACAGG
RNAcentral lists this ribosomal RNA (253 nucleotides) under uncultured bacterium. Its description in RNAcentral is "partial 16S ribosomal RNA". It matches the Rfam family "Bacterial small subunit ribosomal RNA", at positions 524 to 776 of the family's 1533-position model. The record is from RNAcentral.